UGCCAUGUGUAUGCAGGUUAC
RNAcentral lists this unclassified non-coding RNA (21 nucleotides) under Mus musculus (house mouse). Its description in RNAcentral is "oocyte_clustered_small_RNA8342". Lineage: Eukaryota; Metazoa; Chordata; Mammalia; Rodentia; Muridae. The record is from RNAcentral.